This 449-nucleotide ribosomal RNA is filed under the name uncultured bacterium. RNAcentral describes it as "partial 16S ribosomal RNA". It matches the Rfam family "Bacterial small subunit ribosomal RNA", at positions 29 to 523 of the family's 1533-position model. The record is from RNAcentral.
AACGAACGCUGGCGGCAUGCCUAACACAUGCAAGUCGAACGAGACCUUCGGGUCUAGUGGCGCACGGGUGCGUAACGCGUGGGAAUCUACCCUUGGGUUCGGAAUAACAGUUAGAAAUGACUACUAAUACCGGAUGAUGACGUAAGUCCAAAGAUUUAUCGCCCAAGGAUGAGCCCGCGUAAGGUUAGCUUGUUGGUGGGGUAAUGGCAUACCAAGGCGACGAUCUUUAGCUGGUCUGAGAGGAUGAUCAGCCACACUGGGACUGAGACACGGCCCAGACUCCUACGGGAGGCAGCAGUGGGGAAUAUUGGACAAUGGGCGAAAGCCUGAUCCAGCAAUGCCGCGUGAGUGAUGAAGGCCUUAGGGUUGUAAAGCUCUUUUACCAGGGAUGAUAAUGACAGUACCUGGAGAAUAAGCUCCGGCUAACUCCGUGCCAGCAGCCGCGGUAA